This is a non-coding RNA of Sturnus vulgaris (Common starling), 397 nucleotides long. The record is from RefSeq and is a predicted model, not a curated record. NCBI's taxonomy places the organism in Eukaryota, Metazoa, Chordata, Aves, Passeriformes, Sturnidae.
GGGAGCAGGAGCCAGGACUGGCCACAUCCCCAGGACGCUCAGGAAGAGUGCGGUGUCCCUCCAGGGUGGAGUUUCGCCCGGGGACCGCAGACAAACCAGGAGCUCUGUAGGCCAAGCACUCCCGUGACAGACAAUGGAUUCCUACCUGUCUGAGGGGCCUGCAUCAGAAAACGGAUGGACUUCUUCCCUGCUCUUCUUAUACACGAUGAAGAGAGAAAACCUGCAAUGUGUCCGUGAGACUAAGGGAUGCACAUGAAAGGGGACACACUGUAAGGAGCCCGUCCUAAGUAUGGAGGUUGCAUUUUUCAUUUUGCUGGAAUUUGCUAUUUCAUCUAGAGAAGCACUGGUAGAUGUGGCAUGAAUAAAAUCGUGCUGCUGCAAAACAAAACUGAGCAAA